RNAcentral lists this ribosomal RNA (497 nucleotides) under uncultured bacterium. RNAcentral describes it as "partial 16S ribosomal RNA". It matches the Rfam family "Bacterial small subunit ribosomal RNA", at positions 28 to 507 of the family's 1533-position model. The record is from RNAcentral.
GAUGAACGCUGGCGGCGUGCCUAAUACAUGCAAGUCGAGCGAACAGACGAGGAGCUUGCUCCUCUGACGUUAGCGGCGGACGGGUGAGUAACACGUGGAUAACCUACCUAUAAGACUGGGAUAACUUCGGGAAACCGGAGCUAAUACCGGAUAAUAUAUUGAACCGCAUGGUUCAAUAGUGAAAGACGGUUUUGCUGUCACUUAUAGAUGGAUCCGCGCCGCAUUAGCUAGUUGGUAAGGUAACGGCUUACCAAGGCGACGAUGCGUAGCCGACCUGCGAGGGUGAGCGGCCACACUGGAACUGAGACACGGUCCAGACUCCUACGAGAGGCAGCAGUAGAGAAUCUACCGCAAUGGGCGAAAGCCUGACGGAGCAAAGCCGCGUGAGUGAUGAAGGUCUUCGGAUCUUAAAACUCUGUUAAUAGGGAAGAACAAAUGUGUAAGUAACUAUGCACGUCUUGACGGUACCUAAUCAGAAAGCCACGGCUAACUACGUG